Molecule: ribosomal RNA, 502 nt
Filed under: uncultured bacterium
Lineage: Bacteria
Description: partial 16S ribosomal RNA
Rfam family: Bacterial small subunit ribosomal RNA
Source: RNAcentral
AUUGAACGCUGGCGGAAUGCUUUACACAUGCAAGUCGAACGGCAGCACGGGUGCUUGCACCUGGUGGCGAGUGGCGAACGGGUGAGUAAUACAUCGGAACGUACCCAGUCGUGGGGGAUAACGUAGCGAAAGUUACGCUAAUACCGCAUACGUCCUGAGGGAGAAAGCGGGGGACCGUAAGGCCUCGCGCGAUGGGAGCGGCCGAUGGCGGAUUAGCUAGUUGGUGGGGUAAAGGCCUACCAAGGCGACGAUCCGUAGCGGGUCUGAGAGGACGGCCCGCCACACUGGAACUGAGACACGGUCCAGACUCCUACGGGAGGCAGCAGUGGGGAAUUUUGGACAAUGGGCGAAAGCCUGAUCCAGCCAUGCCGCGUGUGUGAAGAAGGUCUUCGGAUUGUAAAGCACUUUAAGUUGGGAGGAAGGGUAUUCACCUAAUACGUGGGUACUUUGACGUUACCAACAGAAUAAGCACCGGCUAACUCUGUGCCAGCCGCCGCAGUAA